CUACGGGUCGCACCAGUAGGGAAUUUUCGGCAAUGGGCGAAAGCCUGACCGAGCAAUGCCGCGUGAACGAUGAAGGCCUUCGGGUUGUAAAGUUCUGUUAUCAGGGAAGAACAUACGGAUUAGGAAAUGACUCCGUACUGACGGUACCUGAUCAGAAAGCUCCGGCUAACUACGUGCCAGCAGCCGCGGUAAUACGUAGGGAGCAAGCGUUAUCCGGAAUUAUUGGGCGUAAAGCGUGCGUAGGCGGUUCGUUAAGUCAAAUCUGAAAGCCCACAGCUUAACUGUGGAGGGCGAUUUGAAACUGGCGAACUUGAGUACGGCAGAGGUUAGUGGAAUUCAAUGUGUAGCGGUGGAAUGCGUAGAUAUAUUGAGGAACACCAGUGGCGAAGGCGGCUAACUGGACCGGAACUGACGCUGAGGCACGAAAGCGUGGGGAGCAAACAGGAUUAGAUACCCCUGUAGUC
Molecule: ribosomal RNA, 464 nt
Filed under: uncultured bacterium
Lineage: Bacteria
Description: partial 16S ribosomal RNA
Rfam family: Bacterial small subunit ribosomal RNA
Source: RNAcentral